UACGAAGGGGGCUAGCGUUGCUCGGAAUCACUGGGCGUAAAGGGUGCGUAGGCGGGUCUUUAAGUCAGGGGUGAAAUCCUGGAGCUCAACUCCAGAACUGCCUUUGAUACUGAGGAUCUUGAGUUCGGGAGAGGUGAGUGGAACUGCGAGUGUAGAGGUGAAAUGCGUAGAUAUCCGGAGGAACACCAGUGGCGAAAGCGGCCACCUGGACUGCACCUGACGCUGACACGCGAAAGCUAGGGGAGCGAACGGG
This 253-nucleotide ribosomal RNA is filed under the name uncultured bacterium. RNAcentral's name for it is "partial 16S ribosomal RNA". It matches the Rfam family "Bacterial small subunit ribosomal RNA", at positions 524 to 776 of the family's 1533-position model. The record is from RNAcentral.